RNAcentral lists this ribosomal RNA (492 nucleotides) under uncultured bacterium. Its description in RNAcentral is "partial 16S ribosomal RNA". It matches the Rfam family "Bacterial small subunit ribosomal RNA", at positions 29 to 507 of the family's 1533-position model. The record is from RNAcentral.
AGUGAACGCUGGCGGUAGGCCUAACACAUGCAAGUCGAACGGCAGCACAGUAAGAGCUUGCUCUUACGGGUGGCGAGUGGCGGACGGGUGAGGAAUACAUCGGAAUCUACUUUUUCGUGGGGGAUAACGUAGGGAAACUUACGCUAAUACCGCAUACGACCUACGGGUGAAAGCAGGGGAUCUUCGGACCUUGCGCGAUUGAAUGAGCCGAUGUCGGAUUAGCUAGUUGGCGGGGUAAAGGCCCACCAAGGCGACGAUCCGUAGCUGGUCUGAGAGGAUGGUCAGCCACACUGGAACUGAGACACGGUCCAGACUCCUACGGGAGGAAGCAGUGGGGAAUAUUGGACAAUGGGCGAAAGCCUGAUCCAGCAAUACCGCGUGGGUGAAGAAGGCCUUCGGGUUGUAAAGCCCUUUUGUUGGGAAAGAAAAGCAGCAGGUUAAUACCCCGCUGUUCUGACGGUACCCAAAGAAUAAGCACCGGCUAACUUCGUG